RNAcentral lists this unclassified non-coding RNA (384 nucleotides) under Neodiprion lecontei (redheaded pine sawfly). Its description in RNAcentral is "elastin, transcript variant X4". Lineage: Eukaryota; Metazoa; Arthropoda; Insecta; Hymenoptera; Diprionidae. The record is from RNAcentral.
GAGUGGCAGGCCGCCCGGAGAGAGCUGGUGUCGUGUCACUGUGGACGAAGAGUAGAAUAAUACGGACGGGGAGGAUAAUUUAAUAAAUUCUCGGACGGUAUAGCCAGACGUAUAUGAGAGCCAAGAUAACCGGGAUUCUCCUUGCAGCCACUCGACGCUGUGUAUAAUUCUGGGUCACGUUGCCAACGCAGCUACGCGUAAAUCACCCUUCUACAUCAUCCAGACAAAGUGAGUCUUUGGAGAGCUGAUGUUCACAUAGAAAACAUCAGUAGGACAUGGAAGAAAAUUGUCUUAAGAUUUUGAAAUUACAUGCUGUAAUUAAAAUACUCACCACGUGAAAAAAGAACACGAAAAAAUGGUGGAGAACUUACGUGCCACCGACCA